Molecule: long non-coding RNA, 2370 nt
Filed under: Nothobranchius furzeri (turquoise killifish)
Lineage: Eukaryota; Metazoa; Chordata; Actinopteri; Cyprinodontiformes; Nothobranchiidae
Description: lncRNA (ENSNFUG00015005528.1)
Source: RNAcentral
AUGGCAGAUGAAAGUAAGCCCACUGAAAGUUGUGCUGAGCUUAAAACACAAGACGAUGAAAGGCAUGUGGAUACAGAAGAACAGGCAAAUGGAGAGGAAGCUCAACAGUCCUCAAUAUCUAUUAAUUCACAAUCAGAAAACCCACGCAGAAGCCAGCGCACACGCACACUCACUGAAAAGGGAAAAUCUUUGGAAGAUGCAAAGUUACAUGGUUUGACCAAGGAUUUUCAGCGAUUCUACAAGAAAUGGAAAUAUCACAUAAACUCUUUUAAGAGAAUGGUGAAAAAUAAAGAUAUUGAUUUAAUACCUGAAGCUGUGAGUGCCAUAGACACCAUUAUGACUGAUAUGUACAACACAUAUGAUGAUAUUAGAAGAAUUGAAAGUCCUGAUGUAGAAAUACGGAGAAGAUGUGAUGUUUGUUGUGCUGUCAGUGAAGCAGCCAGAGCAAAGGCAAAGUGCCUUUUGGAGGAAAAUGGGGAUCCAGAUAGUAUUCCUUGGCCAGAUUCUGAAUCUGUGUUUGAAAGCAGUACAUCCAGCAUCAGCUCAAGGAUCACAUUUAAGUCAAAGUCCAUCUCUGAAAUGUCCAGGCAGUCAUCUCUAGUUUCACUGCAACAAAGACAGGAAGCUGCAGCUGAAGUGGCAGCAACAGAAGAGGUCAUUAAAAUAAUGAAGACACAACAUCAAUGUGAGGAAGAAAUCAGAGAACUUGAAGUUGAGGAUGCAAAGAAAAGAGCCCAAUUUCUAACAGAGAGCACUACAAUAAAGACAAAACUGGAAGAGAAGAGAAAAGAAGUGGAACUAUUGAAGGAGCUGCAAAAGCACAAUGCGGCACAAGCAAGAUUAAAAGUGUAUGCUGAAAGCAUAAAAGGUGAGGGUGAAGAACCGCCUAACAUUUACAAACAAGAUAGCUCCCUUCUACCAUCAUGCUUUCUGAAUGUUCACUCAAAGCCAUUCAUUCCUUCUCAAGUUAAAGAUCCUGCAAAUCAACGAUUUGUCCAGAAAACAGAAAUUCCAACUGCAAGUGAAGCAGCCUCCAUUGAUCUUGUAAAGACACUUGCUGAAGCAAUCACAGCCAAUAGACUUCCAGUGCCUGAACCUGCAGUCUUCACAGGUGACCCGCUGCAGUAUAAUGACUGGAAGCUGUCUUUUCAAACAUUGGUUGAUCGCAAAAAUCUGCCAACACAAGAAAAGCUUUUCUUCUUGAGAAAGUACGUUGGAGGUUCAGCUAAGAAGGCUAUCGAAGGUCACUUUCUAGCUGGAACAGAUACAGCAUAUUGUGCUGCUUGGGAAAUGCUCGACGACAGAUUUGGAGAUCCUUUUGUGAUUGGCAAGUCUUAUCGUGACAGGAUUCAAUCAUGGCCUAAAAUCACAGCCAAGGACAGAAAAGAUUUACGUGAGUUUGCUGAUUUCUUAACAAGUGUUGAAUCAGCCAUUCCAUAUGUCCAAGGUUUACAAGUUUUAAACGACUGUGUGGAAAAUCAGAGAACACCAGCAAAGUUAGCUGAUUGGUUAAGUGCACGUUGGAACAGGAAAGUUACAGAGUUCCAAGAUGAACACAAAAUGUUUCCUGAUUUCAGUCAUUUUGUAAAAUUUUUAAAUAAAGAAGCAAAAAUUGCAUGCAACCCGAUUACCUCACUGCAGGCAAUAAAGCCAACUGAAUUAGAUAACAAGCAUCCAUACAAAGACAAAUCAAGAAGAAGUGGUACCCUGAGUGCUAAAACUCUUAACACAAGCUCAAAUGAAAAGACAUUUGUUACAUGUCUCUUUUGUAAGAAACCUGGUCACACACUACAUAAAUGUCGAAAGAUGAUGGAAAUAUCAGUUGAAGAAAGAGUUAAGUUUGUGAAGGCUGAAAACCUGUGCUUAGGUUGCCUCAAGUAUGGUCAUAACUCUAAGAACUGUAAGUCUAGAAGUGUGUGCAACAGAUGUCAGAAACCUCACCCAAGUUGUCUACAUCAAGACAGAGAAAAGGGGGAUGAAGAGAAAAGAGCAAAGAAUAAUCAACAACCAACAAACCACAAUCAGGAGACAGAAAAGGUGUCUGAAGCACAAGAGCAAGAAUCUCAGCAAGUCACAUCCAACAGAGUAUUACAACAAAAAUCAAAGGGUUGUACUUCCUCAGUAAUCCCAGUUAAUGUAUCAACCGUGGAUGAACCAGAGAAAGAAAGGCUUGUGUUUGCUUUGCUCGACACUCAAAGCGAUACAACUUUCAUCCUGAAGAACACAGCUGAAUCGCUGAAUACAAAAUUUGAACCGGUCCAACUCAAGAUUUCCACUAUGACCUCCAAAACAAGGAUUGUGUCAAGUCACAAGUUAAAGGACUUACAAGUAAGAGGAAUGAACUCGACUUCCGUUACGGCGCAAGGCUGA